CUUCCGAGCCCGCGCAUUCCCGUCGGGCGGUCACUUCCACGAAGCCCAGGAGAGCCGCCAGAGGCCGGCACACGCAGGAGGCAGGGCCGUGGAGCGAGCACGCGGAGCACGUGCGCCCUUGUGGCCCAGCACCGGCUCCCGGCGGCAGCUCCCGGCGGGGGGCGGCCUGCGAGGAGCGGGCCUGCGGGGGCCCCGGCUGGACAGGCCUGCGGGGAGCGGGCGCCGCCCCCGCUGGACACCCCGCGGUACGUGCGAUGCCACCCCUCCCUCCCUCCCUCCCUCCCGCCGCUCUCCGCGUGGAGAGCCUGUGCGGGCGCGGCCCCCGCCCCGACAAGACCCGCCGUCCCAGGAGGGCCCCGGGCGGCGGGCGCACCCCCGGCCCGAGCGCGCACCCCGGCCCCGAGCGCGCACCCCGGGCGGCGGGCGCACACUUACGUCUCCGCUCCCCGCGGGCAGGUCGGCGCGGCUCCCGCGGCUCGGGCGGGCGGGGAGGAGGAGGGAGGAGGGCGGAGGGCGGCGGGCGGCGGGGACACCCGCUCCCGCUCCCGCUCCCGGCCCCGCGCUCUCCGCUCCGGGCUCCGGGCUCCGCGCUCCCGCACCCGCUCCCGCGCUCGGGGCCGCGGGCGGCAGGCGGCAGGCGGCAGGCGCGCCGGCUCGUACCCGGAGGCUCCGCGGGUGUGGCCGGGCAGCCGAGGUUUUUGGAAUGCAGGGUGUGGCCCUCUAACACAGCAAAAAAGAAAUGAGUCAGCCCGUGCGAUCCUAACCAAUAAGCGUGUUCAUUGUCGGCUAAGGCGGAACUUGCCUGUCUUGAUUUAUAUCAGGCUUAGGAGCCCGGUACAGCCUUUAAAAGAGGUUUUUUCCCCCCGAACUUCAGCCUUGAACAACUUCCAAGAACAGCAGAGGCUCUUUAAAAACUCUUUCAAAGCCAGAGUCAGUGUCAGGACAUGCUUGACCGGCGGGUGCAGAACCGAUCAUUCAUUCCAUAAGCCAAAUUUUCUCCAAAAUACUCACUGGCCAAAGAUAAAAUCUAAAGUGAGAGCAAAGGCCCUUCCUAAAAUGGGGUUUUCUUCAAAGCAGCAUGGAAAGAACAGAGCACCAGGACUCAGGAGCUCCAGCCCUCAUCCCAGCUGUGCCCAUAAGAGACCAGGAGCGUGGUGCGAGGUAUUUGAAUUAAAAAGCACAGUCACUAAAUACCCACGGCACCUGUCAUGUGCUGCUGCAAGUCUCCUUGACCUCGUCACUCCCGCCACACAAGGCACUUCUCUCUCCAACUGAUUUCCAAAACACUCACUGUAUCUCCUAUGACAUCGACCACAUCACGACCUGCGACUCCCAAGUACAGAGCACACUUCGGAGCGCGCUGAUCGACCACCGUGCCAGGCUGCAACCUCCCCACCCCCAAGGCCUACACACCUGCCAGCUCUCCAGUCAAACUCGCAUCCAUACUGGGGAUGCCCAGAAAUAGCAUCAGGUCCCUCCUGGGAGAGAAAUCAUAAAUCAGAAUAUUUUAUGUGUGGUGAGGCUCCUCGGCUGGUUAUUUCUCCCAAGUCUGCUUUCACAGCGACCCAAGACACUCUUAUUCAUCUUGAUUGAAACACAAGUCAAUAUUUCUUAAUCCAGGGGCAAGCGUCUCAGGUUUCCAUCCAUCAGUUUCAGCAUGAAAGGGGCAAGAAUUGCUUUUGCAAUAAUCCAAGUCCGUUCUUGACUCAGAAGGAGCUAUAAAUAUCUAUUGUUUCAGGAGGAAAUAAGGGAAAUAAAUGUUUUAAGAUUAUGUAAGUCCGUUUCAGGGAACUGACACAAACGAAUGUUUUGAAAUACCCAAGACAUUUUUUUUUAAGGUUCAGUAAAGAAUGUGUUCUGAGAGCAAGGUGGGUGAGAUUUAGAAUAAAAACCACCACCACAAUCUUAGCUGUUACUGAGCGAUUUCAGGCUCCCAUUGUCCCCUGGAAAGGGCAAGCUAGCGGGCUGGGGGAGCACGGGCUACCUGCUCCAGGGUCCCUGGUGCCCUCCAUCCCCCUCCCGAAGACCUGCAUCAAGCCAGUGUGAACCUGACACUGCCCACAUACCAUCCUGUUUUGUUUCUCUCUCUCUGGAGACAAUGUACUUUCAUGAAAACUUCAUUUCUGAACAAAAGCAAAGCAACGAGCCAUCGCUGGUGAGGAGGAAGCCUGGCUGCUGGUCCCUGCAGUGUCACUACCUGACAAGGUGUAGGUUCCAGGGAGCACAGCAAAGGCACAGAACAAACUGGAAAGGGAGUGGACAGCCUGCCUGUGUGCAACCACUGUCACUGCACAGCCCGGAGAGGCGAGGGUGCCAGGGCAGUGACAUCACGAGGUCAACAAGCCUCAGGCAACGGGUUUCCAUUCUAAAUU
This 2372-nucleotide long non-coding RNA is filed under the name Canis lupus familiaris (dog). Its description in RNAcentral is "lncRNA (ENSCAFG00030021677.1)". Lineage: Eukaryota; Metazoa; Chordata; Mammalia; Carnivora; Canidae. The record is from RNAcentral.